UACGUAGGGACCAAGCGUUAUCCGGAUUUACUGGGCGUAAAGCGCGUUCAGGCGGUUUGGCAAGUCGGGCAUGAAAUCUCUCGGCUCAACCGGGAGAGGUUGUCCGAUACUGCUGGACUUGAGGGCAGUAGAGGGUGGUGGAAUUCCGGGUGUAGUGGUGAAAUGCGUAGAUAUCCGGAGGAACACCAGUGGCGAAAGCGGCCACCUGGACUGCACCUGACGCUGACACGCGAAAGCUAGGGGAGCGAACGGG
Molecule: ribosomal RNA, 253 nt
Filed under: uncultured bacterium
Lineage: Bacteria
Description: partial 16S ribosomal RNA
Rfam family: Bacterial small subunit ribosomal RNA
Source: RNAcentral